Molecule: long non-coding RNA, 13297 nt
Filed under: Lactuca sativa (garden lettuce)
Lineage: Eukaryota; Viridiplantae; Streptophyta; Magnoliopsida; Asterales; Asteraceae
Description: long non-coding RNA (LSAT_LNC000826)
Source: RNAcentral
GAGGGCACCCGAGCAUAGAAAUGGCAAGAAAGAAAGGAAAAAAAUUAAAAAAAAACCGCACGUAAAAUCUAAAAAAAACGCAAACGGACAACGAAAAAGGGGGGGGGGGGGGUGCAACACGAAAACUUCGCAGGGGUCACCCAUCCUAGUACUACUCUCGCCCAAGCACGCUUAACUGCGAAGUUCUGAUGGGAUCCGGUGCAUUAGUGCUGGUAUGAUCGCACCCAAAAUACUAUCCAUCAGAAUUGUUUUUAUGUGUUACAAGACGCAGAACCUCCUUUGUUUUGGUACGCGGGGCGUGGGACCCACGUGACCGAUCGGCUCCGUUCCAAAAAUACGAAAAGCAUCAACCAUGAACCGGAGGGCACCCGAGCAUAGAAAUAGAAAGAAAGAAAGGAAAAAAAAGCAAAAAACCGCACGUAAAUGUUGGAUUAAUGUCUAAGUCCAUAACUAUAAUUGGUAAGACUUGACCCGUCUGCAUUUUAGCACUUCCAGGUUUUGGAAAAAGUUUCAUUAUGAGUUGGGCACUCAUCUGCAUUUUAGCACUGCCUUUCACCUGCAGAUGGAUGGUCAGAGCGAAUGGACCAUCGAGACUUUGGAGGAUAUGUUGCGGGCAUGCAUGCUAGUCUUUGGUGGUAACUGGGAUACCUAUCUUCCCUUGGCUGAGUUCUCGUACAACAACAGCUACCAUGCAAGUAUUAACUGUCCCCCAUUCGAGAUGUUGUACGGACGGAGGUGUAGGAUCCCGAUAUGUUGGGGUGAAGUUGGCCAGAGGGUCAUGGGGAGCACCGUGGUGGUGCUCAAGACGACCGAGAGAAUCCAGUAGGUUCGAAGCAGGCUGCAGACUGCGCAGAGUCGGCAGAAAAGUUACGCCGACAAGCGCCGAUCAGACCUGGAGUUUCAGGUCGGGGAUAUGGUUCUCCUAAAAGUGUUGCCUUGGAAGGGCGUCAUUCGAUUCAGGAAGCGGGGCAAGUUCGGCCAAGAUACAUUGGUCCGUUCAGGGUUGUAGCCCGGGUGGGGAAGGUGGCAUAUAGGCUGGAUCUACCAGCCGAGCUCAGUCAGAUCCACAGGACCUUCCAUGUCUCCCAGCUGCGGAAGUUCCUAGUGGAUGAUUCAGUAGUGGUGCCGUUAGAGGAUAUCCAGGUUGAUGACAGCCUGAAUUACAUUGAACGCCCAGUCGCAAUCCUCGACCGGAAGUCGAAGGAUCUGAGGAACAAGAGGGUGGAAUUAGUGAAGGUGAAAUGGCAGUACCGAAAGGGUUCAGAGUGGACUUGGGAGCUUGUGGAAGAAAUGAUGGAGCAUUACCCCGAGAUGCUUCAGGAUCGAGCAGCAGACUUCGAGGGCGAAGUCUAAAAUAAGUGGGGGAGAUUUGUAGCACCUGGUUCCUGGUAUGUGAAAUUUAUCUAAGUGUUUUGCAUUUUUAGCAUUGGACUCGGCGAGUUGUAGGACCGACUCGCCGAGUAGAGACGGGAUAUGGAUCACGUUUAAGUUGGCGACUCGGUGAGUCCAUAUUCUGGACUCGGCGAGUCCCUGUUGUCUGAUGAAACCCUAAAUUCCAAGGGUUUGCACCCUAUUUAAACCAACCUUAUGCGCACCAACCUCGCCCCCUUCACCCUAAGAGCUCCCUAUAUCGUCCAACCCUUGUUACUUGUGAGAUUGAAGUGAUUUGGUGUGUUUUCUUGAAGAUUUUGAGAGAAUAGAAGAGUAGAUCAAGAAGAGAAGAAGGAGGCCAGACAUCUUGGUGUUAUUUCAGUGAUCCCCUUGAGGUAUAACUCAUUUUCCCUCUGUUUCCAUGUUUAUAGUCCCUUAUAGCUCCAUUAAAGUCCUUCUUGAGCCAUUUCCAAGCUUGAGUAUGAUUUAGGGUCUAUAAUAAGUUGGUUAACCUUUGGAUCUAGGCAUGAUUGAGCUCCAGGAGCUCGGAUCUACUGCCUUUAUGGAGCCAUAUUGCAUGAAAGCCCUAGAUCUACCCUUUUAGUGCAUUUUGAGCCCUAAAACCUUCAUUGGUGUUUAUUUACACGUAAAGUUGGAAACUUUACGUGUUAAUCAAGCCUUAGAAACCCAGAUCUAUGUAUGGAAUGAGAUGGAUUCAAGCAAAAUUAAGUAUAUAAUAUUUGCAUGUGAAUGACUCGGCGAGUCGUUCAUUGGACUCGACGAGUCGAGUCGCGAGUCCCCGAGUUUUCCCCCUUUUCGUGUUUGCGGAGUGGAAUAGUGAGUCAUGGGGUGUGACUCAGUGAGUCGGAAGCCAGACUUACCCAUGAAGGAACUCGGCGAGUCAAUGCCCUGACUCUGCGAGUUCAAGGAAAUCUUCUUGCCUCAAGGACAGACUCGGCGGGUUGUUCAUACAACUCGGCGAGUCUGAGCAUAGCAUGUUCUUCAGAUGAAGAUGAACUCGACGAGUUGUUCAUACAACUCGGCGAGUAGGAUGAAGGACUAUUGGACUUUGGGUUAGAAGGAAAACUCGUCGAGUCAAUGCCUAACUCGAUGAGUAGAGACGGGAUUUUGGACAAUCAAAUGAAUAGGGACUCGGCNCUCGGCGAGUCUGGUCAACUGGCAGUUGACUGUGAUUUGACUCUUGAUUUGUUAAGGGUAAAUGGUCAAUUUACCCUGAAAUCGGUAAGCAGUAUUUGACUGAGUAUUUUGUGGGAAUUAUAGCCGAAGGAUUUCCAGGGCAGCAGCAGUAGAGGAAAGUCAGUUUCCACGCAGAUCAGCAGCUACUUUGAGGUGAGUUACCUUCCAGUAGCGGUGGGUCUACGGCCACAAUGCCGGCCCACCAGUAGGAGUUGUAUGAUAGAUGAUUGUCUCUGUGAUAUUCAUCUAAGGUUGCUACUACCUGUGUUAUGUUUAUGUGCUAGUAUGAUAUGAUGCUAUGCGCUAUGUGUUAUGUGGUAGCAGUAGGGGGUGAAAUAGUCCCCAGUAUCCGGUCGUAAGGACCUAAGGGGAGGCCAACACCCAGAUAUGCUAGGCAGUAUCCCGUCGUAAGGACCGAAGGGGAGACCAGCACCCAUAUAUGCUAGUCAGUAUCCGGUUGUGUGGACCGAAGGGGAGGCCAACACCCAGAUAUGCUAGGCAGUAUCCGGUCGAGAGGACCGAAGGGGUAGGUCGGACACCCAGAUAUGCCCGACAAUAUAUGCAUGUUAUGUGAUUAUGUGGUAUGUGGUACAGUGGGGGAACUCACUAAGCUUUGUGCCUACAGUUUUCAGAUUUGGUUUCAGGUACCUCUUCUUCGAAGGGGAAGGAGCUGGCGCGGUAGCGACAUAUCACAUACAUGCUUUGUAUUCCGCACUAUGAGAUCUUCCUGAGGAUUUGUUCUCUCACAUUAUUAUGUUUUAUAAAAUGUUUUUCCAGACACACGAUAUCUUUUAUGAAAGGACAUGUUCUGUGAAUGUUUUAUUCCUAAUUUUUUGCUAAGUAUAUGUUUUUAAAAAUGAAAUUUUUGGCUCGUAUUUUUGGGACGUUACAGAACCCGAAGCCUUCGGUCCCGAACCUCGCAUGAAGAACCGAAGCCACCUUCGGGCCGAACUCUCAUACCUUCACUCCAUUUCUCCUUCGGUUCAUGACUAGAAGGGACCGAACCCCGGCCAGGACCGAGAGGUCUCGCAGGAAGCCCAAUUUUUCCCAGUUUUCGACAACGACUUCAUUUUAAGCUCGUUUUUCAUCUUUUUAACACAGGAUUUUCACCCUAAAACUUUAUUUUAACAUAUAAGGCCCCAUAUUUAUUAAUAAACCAUGUUUUUGGGGAUAAAUCUUAUCCAAGAAGAGUGGGUGAAGUACAAGAGGUAGAGUGUUGACUUUUCUUUAGUUUAUGACACAAGCAACCACCCAUACCCACUCCAUGACCACCCCACACCCCUCCCUACCAUCCCUAGUCAUGUCAAUGUCCUUUCUCAUCAUUUUCCAGCCAUUCCCACGUUCUAAGAGCUGGAACACUCACCCUCAUUUCCCACACUUCACUCAUUUUCACUCAUUCCACCAAAAGAUCAAACCCCUUUUCUCUCAACUCUCCUCUCUCAAGUCCGAGAAUUUCAAGCACUUCCAAGGAUUUUUUCUUCAUUUGGUAAGUAUCAUCAUCUUCCUUCUGAUUAUUACACUUCCUUCUACUCCAAUCAUAGAUUGCUUACACAAAUUCCAUCACAUUGGUGUUAGAUUCUCGAAUCUUCAAGCAAUCCUCCAAGUGUUCUUGAGUUGAACACUUCUCUUAUUCAACAAUCUGUUGGAUUAAUGUCUAAGUCCAUAACUGUAAUUGGUAAGACUUNNNNNNNNNNNNNNNNNNNNNNNNNNNNNNNNNNNNNNNNNNNNNNNNNNNNNNNNNNNNNNNNNNNNNNNNNNNNNNNNNNNNNNNNNNNNNNNNNNNNUUUCCUAAAUGAAGAUGAUGUCCUUUGGAAAUCAUACUUCUUCCAACUCCUCCAAUUAUUCUCCCAAACCCACAAGUUCUUGACAAGUUCAAGGUCACUCAAGCCCUAUUGGCAAGGCAAGGUCUAGGUGUGAUCACAUCUUGGAGAUGUAGUCACAUAUUGACAAGCCGGGAGAGUUGGGUGUCAAAGUCUUGAGAAAGUUGGUGGUUCAAUCACUUUCUAAGUCACAUAGUGAGUUCCUUUGGGACACCUAUGAAACAGACUAUGACAAGACCCUUAAUGAUCUUAUCUAUUUGUUAAGAUCAACUUCCUUAAAACUUGAUGGACAUUGACAAUAGUGACACAGGAAAUCCAGAAAAGCAUUCUCUUCCCAAUGGAAAGGGAUCGGCCAUAGUCAACUCGGUUGACCAAAUGGUAAAGAGAAAAGCUAAGUCUGUGAUAGUCCCGUGUACCAUUAUCAAAGGGUCCAUAUGUUUAUAUUGCCAAAGGAAGGGGCAUUGGUUGCGAAGCUGCCAAAUUUACCUAAGGAUGUUAAAGUCAAUAAGUUUGACUCUACUUCAGGUAAAGUCCACUAUCUAACUCUGUUAAGUUUCUAUUCUGAGAUUCUUGAUACAUGAUGUGACUGGGUCACAUGGUGAUGUUUUAAGAAUCAAAGAAAAGUGAAGAAACUUACAGAAAGAAUAUGCUGAAUCAGAUCCCGUAGAUGGAUUUCUAUCGCGUAGUUUGAGGAUCGGAUUCUUGAGCUACUUCUUAGGAGUUAUGAGAUAUUGCUUAGGAAUAGAUAACAACAAGUUUUCAUAUGGAUUGUAAGGAUAAGUUUUUCCGCAAAGUUUUAAAAUAAAAGAAAAUUUUUUAUUUUAUUUAUUUUAAAAUAUCCUUACAAUGGCAUUUGAGGAAAAAUUGUUGCUUAUAUGAUUCCAUUAAGAGCAAGAGUGGAAAUAUGAAAUUGAUUCUUUCAUUUGUGGUAAUGUCUAAAUUUACCAAAUAAGGAAAGAUUCUCAUCACCCAAGUUUCAAUUGGACCGGAACUUGGAAUCAUGCAAGUUGUAUAGCAUGAUGAAUGAGAACUUUCAAGUUUUGGAAAAUUAAGACUAAUUACUUGUUCACAUGGAUGUGUGAGUCAAGUAAAGGACUUAGGGAUCGAGUACACAUUCUUGUGCACUGAUUAAGUCCACCACAAAAGAUCGAUAAGAAGAAUCAAAUUAGGCAGAAGGAUAAAAGUUUCUCAAAUCUGAAAAGAUGGGAGAGUACUUUAGUAUCAGUUUUGUGAUCAUCUUAAUGAUUAAGAAACCAUAUCACAAUUAGUUCUCUAAGGAAAUCUUAGUGCAUUCUUAUGACUAAGAAGAGGAACUUGAAUUGUUGAAAUGGUUAAAUCAAGAAGAUGAGUCAUACUUCGUUCCAAUACAAGUCUUAGAGUCAUACUCCAAGAUUGUCAUUUGAGUGACAUGUCUUAAAGAAGGUUUAAAACACUUGUCAAAUGUAAGAGUAAAAGUUUUCUACUCUUGUACAUUUGAAAUUGGUAAGUUGUGAUGUUUUGGAUAAAACAAAGACCAACUUAGGCCAAUUGGGUAAAGUGUUUUUCUUGAUUAGAAUCCGCACUAUCUCUUGGAUGUUUGACAAGGGAGUCUUAUAUGUCAAGAGGACAGUGGGAGUCUUAAAGGUCUUGAAAGUCUCAAGAACUAAUCAAGAAUAAAACCUGAAGUUCUUCACUAGCACACGACUUGAGGUUUAUAACCUAUCGUGUUGACAUAUUCUGUGCCCAUUCCAGUUAAAGUUGGCUUUGCAUAUGAGUUCUUAGAGUUCUCAAUUUGUUGCACAACAACUUGGAAGCAAUGGCAGGCCCUUGAGCUGCCAGGUGGCAAGAAAUUAAGAUUGAGUUCAGUCCAUAUGAGUUUGGAUUUGUCAUUAUCCUUGUCUUGUGACUAUGGUUUUGACAAUUCACAUGGAUAAGAACACAUACACCAGUAAAUCUAAGUGUCAUAAGGUUUCUCUCCGAUUCAUGAAAAUGAUGGUGAGGAAACACUUUCACUAAGUAGAUUUUAGCUAGAUAGCAAUUGUGAUAUUUGCAUUCUCAAAGUCGUUAGUGGAGCGUGUGUGGUAUACCGGCACACUAACCUGGACUUGUGAGAAGUGGAAAAGGUCUAAACAAUCGAGACUAUGAUUACGGCAUCCCUUUUCAUAGUUCUUAAAAUUGUUUAAACACACAAGUGUGCUAUCUAAGGCAAGGUGUAUGAUUUUGAUAAAGUUUUAUCAAAACAAUCUAGUAUCAGAAAUAUGAACUUUGGUAAGAAAUUCAGCUGAUUUUUGAGUACAUGUCAAAUAUAGUGGGAGCAUAAGUCUUACGCUCAUAAUCAUCAUGUUAGUGGGAGCAUGAUAAUUAUGAUAAAGAUUUCAACUUAGCAAUGUUAAUUAUAGAAAACAAAAGUUUCAAUUGGAAAAGAGUUGUUUUGCUAUAAUUAAGGGAGAGGAAAUUAUAUUUCAUCUCAAAUCUAAAAGCUUAGAUUGAGGUUUUAAUCGUAUUUAGUCAAGGAUUUAUAUAUAUGAAUUUCAUGUUGGAAUGGCUCAACAUAAGGAAAUUCUGUAUAUGGGUCCAUUAUUUGCGUUCUAAAAUUCGAUUAUGAUUACGGCAUCCCUUUUCAUAAUCUGAAUUAUGAGAACUUGGCAAAUUGAAAUGGAAAUAUUAUAGCAAAAGACUGGUUUAGUCUUUAUGUGAGACAUCAUGAAUCGUGUCCCAUAUGCUUCGGAUAUAGGAUCGAUUACAUGUGCUAUAUUUAUCCGUUCUAAAAUUUUCCAAAUGCCUGGGGCAUUAAGAAGGGAAAAGGUUUAGAACUGGAUAUGACUAAAAGGAUUAAACAAUUGUCGAGGACAAUCUAAGGUUUACCAAAGAUUGGUUGCUCAAGGACAAUUGGAAGUAUAGUGAUAAUUCUGGAAGGACCAUAUUGACAUAAUCUGUAAGGAGGCAACUCUUGUUCAGAAGUGAUAGUCAAAAUGGAAUCCAGAAAUGUUUCAAAGUUAGAAAUUUUUCAAUCUGUGUAAGAUUAGGAAACUUAAUGCAAGAAGGAUGUUUCCAAAUAGCUAAUCUCCUUUGGAAUGCUUUGUAAUGGUUGUCAAAUCUUUAUGGCUUUGUGCAUAAUCAUUACAAGAGGAUCAAUGCAUAUAAGUUUAGAAUCUAACAGAUUUCAGUAAAUGGCAUGAAUUUGGAAUUCUUGCAUUUGCAGUAAGGAUUUGGGAGUGUGAAAAGAGAAUCAUUGAAGUUAUGUUCAAUUGAUCUAGUUCACAAAGUAAAGAUCAUAGACAAACAUAGUAUGCAUACUUGGUGUGUGGCAUGACUAGUGUUUAAGAAAACAUAGUGUACAUGCUUGGAGCAUGGGACAACUAUUGUUUUAAAUUCAAGAAUAAAGUUGAUAGCUGAAACAGUAUACAAUGAAUAAUGUGUAAUCAUAUGGUGAUAAAUAAAAGGUGUUUUAUUUAUGUUCAAAGUUUUGAUACCAUAUUGGAUUCAAUUAUUAUUGUGUUUCACUUUGCAUGUUUUGACUUCCCGAAUAAACUAGGUUAUUCUUCCGGAAUGACUAAGUUAUUCAAACCAUCCACAGUCGGUCAUAUGUUGGAAGUAGAUAUGAAUUAAGACUGUCAUGGGUUGGCUUGUAGAGGUCUAAGGUGUUGGACAAAGGGCUACAACACUCAUGAGUGCUCAUAAGUUCUGAGUAUUGGAUUCAACCCGCGCUCAUUGGAAUCACUUCAUGGAUUUUAUCACGAGUGAUCAUGAGACGAUAAUAUCUUAUAUUCUUCAAACCUAGAGAUAUGAGUUGUUACUAUGAGUUGAUAGUACAUUGAUUGCACGAAAACGCAUUUGGUAACUCGGUGCUAUAAAACGUGCCUUUGUGUAUGAUUCAACAAGUAGUAGAACAAGCCAUAUGAGUCGAAGUUUAUCCAUUCCUUUUACCUUCGGGAUAAAAGCGAUAUCUGUGGGCCCCUCGAUGAUUUGAUGAUGACAAAUGGAAGUGCUCGGCCGGGCCAGGACUGAUUUGAUUUGUUCAAUUAGUCAGUCGUCAUAAAUCGGAAAUCGGGAAACAACAAAUGGACAGAGAGAAUGAUUAUAAUCCAUGUCUCAGUCCAUAUGAUAUCUAGAAUGGAGGAAUAUAUGAUCCCUUAUCUAAUGGACAAGUCAUUGACAAAGGUCAGAGUUCAUCUACAAGGUCAGAGUUCGACAGAAGCUUUUGAGAGCUACGAUUGCCAGUCGGUUCUUGAAGUCAUACACAAUAAUAGUUUUAGACUUAUCCAAGUCGGAGACUGUUGGAUUAAUGUCUAAGUCCAUAACUAUAAUUGGUAAGACUUGACCCGACCCGGCAUGGUCCAUUUGGGUUGCAUGGAAUCAUGCAUUUGGAUAGACUAUAAUGAGAGAAAUAAGACACUUAUGGUUAUUAAUAUAUUAUAAGUUCUAGUAUAUUAAUAAUAAGAAUAAUAAGAUUAUUUAAUUAGUAUUGAUCAAGAAUUAAUAUAGGAUUAAUUAAGUGAUCAAAAGAAGACUAAUUAAAUAUAUGGGUUGAUUGUACAAAUCAUCCAUACUUAUAUAGUGGGCUAAUGCUCCAUGGAUUAUCUAGUUGGGCUAAAACCCAUAUGAUGCUCCAUGGUGUUUUUGUACCCAUGGAUCAUAGAAAUGAAAGGUCAUGUCAAUUAGGGUUUACAUGGUGUAACCCUAACUAUAUAUGUAUCUUAUUCUUGACCAAAAUCGGCCACUAGUAUGUGUAAAAGGAAGGGCUAGCCAAUUUCAUGUAGUGUAGAAUUCUCUCAUCUCCUCCUCUCUAUAAAAUACGUAGUUAGAUGCAGAAUAUGUGGGAGAGAUUUUUCCAGCUGAUAAUUCAUAAGAAUACAUGCAACUCUGUAUUUUGUUGGCCAGUUUUUGUGGAGAGAAACUCCAAAGAGAUUAGGUAUCCAGAGAGAUGAAAUCUUUCUUUUCUCUCUUUUCUUCUCUCUAAAACCACUCAUUCCUUCUAUUCCUUUCACCCAUGAAAAUUUCCAGAAAAAACCACCAUUUUGCAUAAAAAUAUCCAUCAUCCAUAAGGACUCAUUAAAGUAAAAAUACCUAACUAAAUCAUGCAUGCAAAUUUCUACUAUUUUCUUUUGAUUUUAUGUGCUAAACCUUUAUCUUCAUCUCUUCUUUUUAUAAGAUCAUCACCAUUUUCGAAUUUUAUGAUGAUGUGUGUAUAUUUUUACCAAGAACAUCUUGCAUGUUGCUUAGAUGGUGAAAUCUAUGAUCAAACCUAUGUUAAGACAAUGAUUUAAGCCACACAUGUGCAUAUUAGUUCAAGAACCGACUUCUACUUCUUCAUCUUUUUCAAAUUUGUUUUCUUUUGAUUAAUAUGGUUUUUAGAAUAUCAUGGACUUGUUUUAACACAACGAAUGUAUGAUAAAAACGGUUGCAUAUUCAUAAUCUUAGUGGGAAAAGCGAUUUUAAGGAUUAAAACAUCAAACCCAAGUUAAGAGUUUUUGAGAAACAAAAUUUUGUUCAUAAAUGAAUGUAUGCAUUUUGAUAAGUUUUAAUCUUUUGAUCACCGGAAACAUGACUCGAAUAUGAGUUUAUCAUGAUAUCCUUAAAAUAUUUCAAAGGAUUUACUCAAAGUAAUGAUGAAAACUCAUUUUUCUAACCAAUCAUUAUACAUGCAAUCUGUCAGAUUACUUCACUUGACUUUGAACUGCCAUAUCUCACUCAUGACUUAACCGAAAAUCGUGAUUAUUUUUCUGAAUUAUAAUGAUAUGAGCUAGAUUUCCAACCCAAGUGGUCUCACUGCAAAACAUUAAGAUUUCGAUUUUUAAAAUUUUUUACAAAACUGCUGCUCAAACAACACCUUUUUGUGAAUAUUAGUUUUGUGUUGCAUGUUCAAAGAACUUAUUCAUUACUAAAAAUCCUUCAAAAAUUAUUUUGAACUCCUAACAUCGUAAACUCAAACGUACAAAAAGAUCUGAUUAAAAAUUCUUUGGAACAUGUUGCAAAAAUUCUCAAAGUGACAUCAAUAACUUUUAACAAAAUCACAAAAACCAAGUUUUCUCUAUAAUAUGUUAAGCCUUUAGGCAUGUUUUUCGAAAUCCAAAAUAAGAAAAUUAUUUUCCACUAUUAUUAAAUUGUAUGAAGAUGUAUUCUGGAAGUUUUCAGUUCAAUAUAUAUUUUCUUUAUUUUUACAUGAAAAUAAUAAGAAAAUAGAGUGUUAAACUAUAUAAAAUACUUCAACUAGUAAAUAAAUUCUGAAAAAUUCAUGAAUGACCUAUACUGUAAACCAUCAUCCCCCAGGAAGUUUUAGAAAUGUUUAUUACAAUUUACCAUUAGCUUUUAUUUGAUUGUUAUUAAGGAAAAUAAAUAACAAAAAUCGGGUUUCAAGUUAUAAAAAUAACAUUUAUUAUUUUUAAAAGCUUUUUUAUAUUUUAUAAGCUUCACAUAAAAAUUUGAUGAAUUUUCCAUAACAUUUUACUAUUUUUCUAAGAUUUAAUGUAUAUUAAAAUAAUUAAAUUAGUGAAAAAUAUUUAAACUUAUCCAAAAUUCAUAAAAAUUUACCAAAAAAGCUUUUAUUACAUUAUCACAACAAAUAAAGAUUUUAAGAAUUGAUCUUAACUUAUUACUAUUUAUUUCUAAUUUCUUAGUAUUAAACACACUUAAAUUCUAAAAAUACGGAUUUACUAUUCAAAAAUGACUUUAAAUAAUUUUCCCAGAUUAUGUGCACUGUAAAAUAGUUACACAAAAAUUAUAAGAAUUUUUCAUGAUAAUUUACUAUUUUUCCAUGAUUUUAUUAUUAUUCUCGGAAUUAAAAUGGUGAAAAAUAGUUAGACAAAUCAAAAAUUCAAGAAAAUUUAUCUUAACAUCUUUGAUUUCAACUAAAACUGAAACACAAAUUUUGGGAAAUUUUAGAACUAAAUUGAUUUUAUUUUUGAAUAUUUAAUCAUUGGAACACCUCUAAAAACGUUAAAUAUUAAAAUUUCAAUAAUAAGAAUUUUCCACUUAAAUUUUUAUAUAACAAUUGAUUCAUGGAAAUUUAAUUUUCACAAAAAAAUGUUUAUAACUUAUCAAUAUCAAAAUUUUGACACAUUAUUUGCAUAAUUCUAUUGUAGUAGUAAGUAUACAAUUAUCAGAUUUAAAUUAGAGACUCAUUAGUAUGUAACAUCGUUGUAGGAAAUCAAUAGUGGGUAAGCGGAGCGUACUUCAAAGCACCAUUUGCAUUAUCUCAAAUCAUUGUGAGUAUUCACUCCUCCCCUAUUUUCGGUUUUUAUGUUUUGGGGUGGAAAAGCAUGUUUGAAAAACUGUUUAUUAUUCGUUGUAAUUUAUUUGACUUGUAUCAGACUUGGUUGCUAUAUUUUGUUGUGAAUGUGUAUGCUAUUGUUAGUUCAUGAAGCCUUAUUGCAUUUAAAUCCCUAGAAUCAGUUCACACAACUCAUUAACUCAUUUGAGCCCAUGGUCAUUAUGGAUAGCGCUAUUAGGAGGUAGACAACUCCUCACUUGCACGAUUUGCUUGAGUGUAUUUUACCAUAUUUCCGAAUGUUGGCGAUAGACAUAGAAGAGGGCACCCUCCGGCAUUAGGCUUGGGUUGUGAACUCAUGGUAUAAUCAUUAUGCACAUACGAACCUUUUAUCUCGUUUUAGAAACAAACUUUAUUUCCCAUGAAAAUAUGAACUUUGCAUCUCAUUUUGGGAACCUGCUUUAUUUCUCAUGAUGACAACGAACCUUGUAUCUCGUUUUAGCAACAAAAUUUAUUUCCCAUGAGAAUAUGAACUUUGCAUCUCAUUUUAGCAACAUGCUUUAUUUCUCAUGAUGACAACGAACCUUGUAUCUCGUUUUAGCAACAAACGUUAUUUCCCAAGAGAAUAUGUACUUUUCUUCUCAUUUUGGCAACAUGAUUUAUUUCUCAUGAUGAGAACGAACCUUGUAUCUCGUUUUAGCAACAAACUUUAUUUCCCAUGAGAAUAUGAAAUUUGCAUCUCAUUUUGGCAACAUGAUUUAUUUCUCAUGAUCACAAUGAACCUUGUAUCUCAUUUUAGCAAAAAACUUUAUUUCCCAUAAGAAUAUGAACUUUGCAUCUCAUUUUGGCAAUAUACUUUAUUCCUCAUGAUGACAACGAACCUUGUAUCUCGUUUUACCAACGAAAUUUAUUUGCCAUGAGAAUAUGAACUUUGCAUCUCAUUUUGGCAACACACUUUAUUUCUCAUGAUGACAACGAACUUUGUUUCUCAUAUUGCAACAAACUUCUAUUUAUGGAAACUUUAUUACUCGUUUUAGCAAUGAACUUCUAUUCAUGAAAACUUAUUUACUUAUUUUAGCAAUGAUAAUUUGUUUAUGGAAACUGUUAUCAGUAUUACGAUUUUCAUGAUUUCAAACUAUAUUAUGUUAUAAACCUGUGAGUACUCACCAACUAUUUUUAUAGUUGACGCUCGUUUUACAUGCUUUUUUAGGAAUCAUCUAGUAAGAGGCACGUAUAGACACAAGACUUGUAGGAGCAUUUACAUGUUUUGACUUUCAAAUACAUUGUAAUUUAUUUUUAAAAAGUUGUUCUAACUAAAUGUAAAUUGUAAUGCUUUUUAAUACUAUGGUUGGUGUUGCCUUUUAACUUUUGUUAUGAAACCCUUUUUACUGCCACACCCUGUAUUUCCGCUUUAGCAGGGUGUGACAAGUGAUGGUAUGAUCACACCCGAAAUACUAUCCAUGCUUAUUGCUUUUAUUCUUUACAAGACACAGGACCUUCUUUGUUUUUCGUAUGCGAGGCGUGGGACCCAUGUGACCGAUCGACUUCGUUCCAAAAAUACGAAAACCAUUAAACAUAAAUCGUAGACCACCCAAGCAUAGAAAUAGCAAAAAGAAACAAAAAACUGUAGACAAAAUCUAAAAAGGUGCAAACAUAUAGCGAAAAAGGUUGUUGCAAAACGAUGACUUCCCAGGGGGUCACCUAUCCUAGUACUACUCUCACC